Molecule: ribosomal RNA, 497 nt
Filed under: uncultured bacterium
Lineage: Bacteria
Description: partial 16S ribosomal RNA
Rfam family: Bacterial small subunit ribosomal RNA
Source: RNAcentral
GAUGAACGCUGGCGGCGUGCCUAAUACAUGCAAGUCGAGCGAACAGACGAGGAGCUUACUCCUCUGACGUUAGCGGCGGACGGGUGAGUAACACGUGGAUAACCUACCUAUAAGACUGGGAUAACUUCGGGAAACCGGAGCUAAUACCGGAUAACAUGUUGAACCGCAUGGUUCAACAGUGAAAGACGGUCUUGCUGUCACUUAUAGAUGGAUCCGCGUCGCAUUAGCUAGUUGGUAAGGUAACGGCUUACCAAGGCAACGAUGCGUAGCCGACCUGAGAGGGUGAUCGGCCACACUGGAACUGAGACACGGUCCAGACUCCUACGGGAGGCAGCAGUAGGGAAUCUUCCGCAAUGGGCGAAAGCCUGACGGAGCAACGCCGCGUGAGUGAAGAAGGUCUUCGGAUCGUAAAACUCUGUUAUUAGGGAAGAACAAAUGUGUAAGUAACUAUGCACGUCUUGACGGUACCCAAUCAGAAAGCCACGGCUAACUACGUG